AUGUUAAACGAGAAGACUUCAGAUAUGAUCCAGAGUACCACGGGACACGUGAAACCCUGUGGGAAGCAGGAGGGACCACCCUCCAAGGCUAAAUACUACCUAGUGACCGAUAGCGUAUAGUACCGUGAGGGAAAGGUGAAAAGAACCCCGGGAGGGGAGUGAAAUAGAACCUGAAACCCUGCACUUACAAGCUGUGGAAGCACAUUUCUUGUGUGACCGCGUACUUUUUGUAGAACGGGCCAACGAGUUACGUUAAGUAGCAAGGUUAAGCACUUAAGGUGCGGAGCCGUAGCGAAAGCGAGUUUUAACUGAGCGUUCAGUUACUUGACGUAGACCCGAAACCGGGCGACCUACCCAUGAGCAGGAUGAAGCGAAAGUAAAAUUUCGUGGAGGUCCGAACCCACGAGCGUUGAAAAGCUCGGGGAUGACUUGUGGGUAGCGGUGAAAUUCCAAUCGAGCCCGGAGAUAGCUGGUUCUCCCCGAAAUAGCUUUAGGGCUAGCCUCAAGGUGAGAGAUACGGAGGUAGAGCACUGAAUGUCCUAGGGGGUAUUGCACCUACCGAAGACUAUCAAACUCCGAAUGCCGUCAUCUUAUACUUGGGAGUCAGACUGUGGGUGAUAAGAUUCAUAGUCGAAAGGGCAACAGCCCAGAUCGUCAGCUAAGGUCCCUAAAUGUAAGUUAAGUGGUAAAGGAUGUGGGAUUGCACAGACAACCAGGAUGUUGGCUUAGAAGCAGCCACUCAUUCAAAGAGUGCGUAAUAGCUCACUGGUCGAGUGAUCCUGCGCCGAAGAUUUCCGGGGCUAAAACUUACUACCGAAGCUACGGCAUCAGUAAUGAUGGGUAGGGGAGCUUCCCAUACGGGUUGAAGCAUGACCGUAAGGACAUGUGGACAGUAUGGGAGUGAGAAUGUUGGCAUGAGUAGCGAGAUGUGGGUGAGAAUCCCACAGGCCGUAAACCCAAGGUUUCCAGGGGAAGGUUCGUCCGCCCUGGGUUAGUCGGGACCUAAGCUGAGGCCGAAAGGCGUAGGUGAUGGACAACAGGUUGAU
Molecule: ribosomal RNA, 1046 nt
Filed under: Clostridioides difficile
Lineage: Bacteria; Bacillati; Bacillota; Clostridia; Peptostreptococcales; Peptostreptococcaceae
Description: partial 23S ribosomal RNA
Rfam family: Bacterial large subunit ribosomal RNA
Source: RNAcentral